Molecule: non-coding RNA, 182 nt
Filed under: Halalkalibacter krulwichiae
Lineage: Bacteria; Bacillati; Bacillota; Bacilli; Caryophanales; Bacillaceae
Description: Bacillus krulwichiae 6S / SsrS RNA
Rfam family: 6S / SsrS RNA
About the family: E. coli 6S RNA was the first non coding RNA to be sequenced, but its function was unknown until recently. It consists of 184 nucleotides that fold into an extended hairpin structure with a large single-stranded internal bulge. The 6S RNA specifically associates with RNA polymerase holoenzyme containing the sigma70 specificity factor.
Source: Rfam by way of RNAcentral
AGAUUCCUAAGAUGUACGUAGACAUUUACGUUUUGAGCCAACAGUUUUUGUAAGGGAGUUCGAGUUGAAAUUGUGAUUACAAGCCUUCAUUGUGUAGAGGAAGUAAAAUCAAUUUCGCAGGGCACCCACCUGCUUAGGAGCAGGUUCAAAACAAUAAAUAACACGGCAUCAUUGGGUUUCUU